CAAUGGAAACAGAAAUUUGGAACAUAAAAGUAUUAUUUCAAAAUGAACACAUUAUAUGUAAAAGCUCACAACCAGGAAUUUCUUCAGUUGGGUUUGCAGCAAUGUUAUGUCACUAAUACUAUAUUUCUCUCUAUAUGGCCAAACCUGUAAGGCCUUAAUAUCUGAUUAUGGAGCACAUCUAGACUGUUAAAAAGCUUUCUAUAAUAUUAAUAAAAAUCAAAUAAUAAAUACAAAUUAAAUUGACUAAUCAUAGCAAUUUCAUUUUGAGAAUGUUUUGUAGGCUGAAGGCAAAUCCUUGAGAUAUUUUUGCAGAAGUGUCAUUGCAAAACAGAAUCUGCAGUAGAACUAUGUCAUCUUCUGGUUCUAAGUGUGCCCUCUCAUUGCUGGCAGAUGGCAAGUAUUUAUUUGCUUGCUAGCUCUUUAGUGGAACUGGUCUUCUGUUUCCACUGUUGCCUCCUGUGACACAAACUGCCACCUGUCUCCCAAGGUUCUUUCUUUGUAACAGAACCCUAGUUUUUGGCUGGACUCAUUUCCCCAGUGGUAGAGGCUGCUGGCUGGUCAUGUCAUGAGCCCAGGUCUUCUUCUUGGGCACAACCAGAUGCCAUUUCUCAGCCUCCCUUGCAGUUAUAUGCAGCUGUGUGUUUGAGUUCUGGCCAUUAGUGAGUGGAAGUGAUGUGUCCCUUCUACUCACACUUCAGUAGUCCUGGCCUACAGAAACUCACGAUGAUUCUCUAUACUCUUUAUCUUUCCACAGCUUAAUGCAGAUAAGUAACAAGAUCUUGGAAGACAAGUGUUGAAGGUGAAAGAGGCACAAGAUAGAAGAAACCUGGGUCCUUAGAUCCUUGCUUGGAGGAAAACCACCUGCCAAUCCAGAACAUCAUUUUGGACUUCAUCCUUGAAACCAACUCUCUGCAGAGCAAUUCCUGUUUCCACAAAGGGUGCAUCAGGAUGCAUGGGACCCCCGGAUCACAGGCCCCACGUGUGAACGAAGCAACACAGACCGUGGAUAACGGAGACCUCUCUAGGACGGAGUCUCGCUUUGUCGCCCAGCCUGGAGUGCAAUGGCGCGAUCCCGGCUCACUGCAACCUCUGCCCACCAGGUUCAAGUGAUUCUCCUGCCUCAGCCUCCUCAGUAGCUGGGACUACAGGCCUGCGCCACCACGCCUGGCUAAUUUUUGUAUUUUUAGUAGAGACAGGGUUUCGCCAUGUUGGGCAGGCUGAUCUCAAACUCCUGACCUCAAGUGAUCCGCCCACCUCGGCCUCCCAAAGUGCUGGGAUUACACAUGAGAGCCACCGCACCUGGCCUAUGUUCACCAUCUGGGUAACAAGUACACUAGAAGCCCAAUCCCACUGUUAUGCAAUAUGCCCAUGCCUAUGUACAUGUACCCCCUGAAAACAUGCAUAUGUACCCCCGAAUCUAAAAUAAAAUAAAAUAGAGAUGUAGAAAAGAAUAAUUUAAAAAAUAUUUUGAGAAAUGUAUAACAAGAGCCAUAAAAGUGUUUAUAUUCCCUUGUCCUAGUAAUUCUGCUUGUGGAUAUUUAUCUUAACAAAAUCAUCAGAAAUGUGUAGAAUGAUUAAUGGAUAAGCAUGUUCACUGAAGCAUUCCUUAGACUAUAGGAAAAUUUGGGAAAAAAAACCCAAUAUACAAAAAAUGAGGAAACACUUAAAUUAAUCAUAGUCCAUUCAGAUGAUGGAAUGCUGUGUAGAUAUGUAAAAAUCAUAUUUUCAGAGAUGGCUGUUGAUCAAUGAAAAUGCCCAAUCUAUAACAUUCCAUGAAAAAGACAGAUAUACAGCCAUAUAUUCCAUACAAUUAUAAUUUUAAAUAUGUAUGAAUGUGUGUGUAUAUAUAAUAUAUGUGAAAAAAUUGGAAAGAAAUACACUAAAAUGUUAACUCAUUAUCUCUAAGUGGCAGGAUUAUGAGAUUACAGGUGAUUGUUUCUGGUUCUUUGUAUUUUUUAGUAUUUUUUUUAUUUUUUUGAGAUGGAUUCUCACUCUGUUGCCCAGGCUGGAGUGCAGUGGCAUGAUCUCAGCUCACUGCAACCUCUGCCUCCCAGGUUCAAGCGAUUCUCCUGCCUCAACCUCCCGAGUAGCUGGGACUACAGGUGCGCACCACCGUGCCCAGAUAAUUUUGCUAUUUUUAGUGGAGAUGGGUUUCAUCAUGUUGGCCAGGAUGGUCUCGAUCUCUUGACCUCAUGAUCCACCCUGCUUGGCCUCCCAAACUGUUGGGAUUACAGGCAUGAGCCACCGCGCCUGGCCUAUAUUUUAGUGUUCUAAGAUUUUUCUACAAUGACUCUGUAUUGCUUUUAAUGUCAAAAAUCUCAAUAAUUUUGAAGGUUAUGGUAUUUAUGUACUUUUUUUAAAAAUGAUGAAUGUUCUCCCUAAAUCAGAAAUGUGGACACUGUGUUUUGGCUUUAGUGUAGUGAGGUGGAGUAUUAUGAUUAAAUACUGUGUUUUCAAGCAUUAAUGACUCAAAGAGCAGGUACUUACAGAGCACCUAUUAUUUCCAUCAACCAAUGUUAUUGAGCACUUACUCAAUAAGUGUUGGCCUCUGACUUUACGCCUAAGAGUCAGGAGACCACAAAAAAGCAACAAUGUCAGGUCUGCAAGGUGAAGGCAAGAAGCUCAUGUUCUAGGUACUUGUGACUGUCCUGUAAUGCUAAAGAAUGAACCAUUACCAAAGAUUUGGCAAACUCACCCAAGCUUAUUCCUAAGGAGUCUAACCUUUGCCCAAGUAUCUAGGACUCAGGCCCACCUGCUUAGCCUGGUCUCACUGAAGUGUGGAGGCGAAGCAUUUGCAGCUUCAUCAUCUUCCAUUUUGUCUCAUAAGGAAAUUGUGUUAGUCCAAGAGGCUUGGUGUGUUACAGGGUUGUACAGCUUAGUGCUUUCUUAGCAUUCUGUUUAAGUGCUGACAACUUGAUAUUUUCGUCAAUGGUUGCUAUAUUUCUCCAAUGUUAGGUUGACAGGCUAAUAAUUUCAGAAGUCAAUUUCUCCUCUCUCUCUCUUCUCCCAGUUUACAUAUUUCUAUUUUCCAAUUCCUUUAUCUGCAUUUUGUACAUACCUCAAAAUAGUGGAAGGCAAGGCCUCUAGGAUCACUUGGCCCAAUCCCCAUAUAAUUGGAUCCUUAGGGCUUGCUAUAUCUUUAAAGAAAUUGAGGUCACCUUUUGUCACCAAGAAUUAAGCACCUGUUGUGUGACUGAUGGAGAUCUGUACACAGAGCACAUUGCCCAGGGCAGGGGUGAUUUGGUUACAGGCAGCCUCUCGAUGUAUGAUAAAAGUUGGGAUCAGGUUGUAAACAUUUUGCUCACUGUAGCAGAAAGCUCUCUGUGAACGGAGAGCUGUCUAAACAGGGUGGUUGGCCACAGAAGCUGCCCAGGGAUGCACCUCCUUUCCACAUUAGCCCAUGGCCUUUCCAGCCCUGAAAUCUGAGUUGCAUGUGAGUCACUUAGACAGGCCAUCUGUCAAUUAUUAAGCGACAUCAGUGGGCCCAGCAAUUCCAUUCUGCGUAGUGCAAAGGUCCUCCACGCAUUCCAGGUCUAUACCAUCAAAGUGGCUAUUUUUCUCAACCUAUCCCUGCCCUUUAAGAAAAUGGGGGUCAUUUAUUUCCAGGGAUCACUAUUUACACCCCAUUGGCAGGUAGUGGAGCCCAGUGGUUAAUAAACAACCUUGUUUUAAAUCCCAUCUCUGUUGUUUGCAAGCUGUGUGUCUUUCAGAAACUUUACUUAAAUUUCUUGAGCAUCAGUUUCCUCACAAGGGUGUGGUCAAGUGAUAAUCAAGUAUUUGUACUUUAACCCUGUACCUGGCUGAUAGCAAGCCCUCAGAGAAGAAUUAACUAAGAGUUUUUAUACAUUCCCUCCAGUACAAUGUUCCUAACAUACAAGGGGCAUAUGUGUGUAUUAUGAGUGGGAAGAAGGAAGGAAGGAUGCAAUUGAUAAGGCUUGCAUUCAACAUUGCUGUAGUCAAACUCUCUUUCCUUAGGAAGAUCUGGAUGUGCCAACAUUUCUUAUAUAUCAUAUGUGGAGGUGACUUAGGUUUUUCUUUCAGUAUUUCAUGAUUUGAAAGAGCAUUUGGUGAUAAUGAGCAGGUUUUGAAGUCUGUGAACUAAACUAAAAGUAAAAAUAAAUGGGACGUUGAAAUUUUGUUUGUGCCUUAAGGGAACUCCCUUUUACCCUCCCACUAUGUUGAUGAUGUCAUGUUUGUUCUAACAUAUCAUCUAACAAUUCCCUCCAUUCAUUUUUUUCUCCUUAUUUCUUUUCCUUUCAAGUGACAGUAUCUUCAACAAUCGUUCGGCUGUUCAGAAACUUAAAAAUCAUGAGACGAUUCUUAAAGGAUAGGAACUAACAUUGAUCACACAGCGUGUAAUCCCACAUCUAUAUACUGGCAAAUGGUGGCACAAACACCAUAAAAUCUCAGCUUGCUUUGUAGCCAUUCUGGAUUGCUGAGUUCUAGGCAAGUAAGAGCUGGUUGUUCAAAGCACCAAAAGAAAGAAAGGAAGGAAGGAAAGAAGGGAGGUGGGCAGAGAGGGAGGGAAGAAGGAAGGAGAAGGAGGGAGGGAGAGAGAGAGAAAUAAAAAGAAAGAAAGAAAGAAAGAAAGAAACAAGAAACAAAGAAAGAAAGAAGAAAGAAAGAAGAAAAAGAGAGAAAGAAAGAAAAAGAAAGAGAAAAA
This is a long non-coding RNA of Gorilla gorilla gorilla (western lowland gorilla), 4663 nucleotides long. RefSeq lists it as uncharacterized. The record is from RefSeq and is a predicted model, not a curated record. NCBI's taxonomy places the organism in Eukaryota, Metazoa, Chordata, Mammalia, Primates, Hominidae. The transcript has 3 exons.